GCAUCCCAAACAUGCUCAAUGGGUGAGUCUAAUAAUUUUAGACUGCAGAAUGUGCCUUAUUGUGCUAAACAAUAAAUACUGUAACUGCUUACAUUUUGAUACUGCCACCAAGUACAUCAAGAAUUAAAACAUGAUUUGAGUUUUAACCAGACUGUCUGUCAGUUUUCACUCUAUUCUAGGUAAUGACAUGUUCCUCCACCCAACAGCUAGCAACAGCAAACUUUGUGAUACAAGUUGGAAAGUCUACAUACUUUCUGUUCAGAUGAAGACAAUGCUUCCAUGCAAAAGAGCAGCCUCCACUGCUGUACAGGAGGAGAACAGGCGACUGAAGUUUCGACGUCAAGUGGACG
Molecule: long non-coding RNA, 350 nt
Filed under: Salmo salar (Atlantic salmon)
Lineage: Eukaryota; Metazoa; Chordata; Actinopteri; Salmoniformes; Salmonidae
Description: lncRNA (ENSSSAG00000120102.1, ENSSSAG00075015224.1)
Source: RNAcentral